Molecule: transfer RNA, 71 nt
Filed under: Lasius spathepus
Lineage: Eukaryota; Metazoa; Arthropoda; Insecta; Hymenoptera; Formicidae
Description: tRNA-Leu
Source: RNAcentral
AUUACUUUGGCAGAUAAGUGUAAUAAAUUUAGAAUUUAAAUAUGUAUAUGUUGAGAUAUAUGCAAGUAAUA